Molecule: ribosomal RNA, 253 nt
Filed under: uncultured bacterium
Lineage: Bacteria
Description: partial 16S ribosomal RNA
Rfam family: Bacterial small subunit ribosomal RNA
Source: RNAcentral
GACGUAGGGCGCGAGCGUUGUCCGGAUUUAUUGGGCGUAAAGAGCUCGUAGGCAGCUUGUUGCGUCGGCUGUGAAAACCCGCAGCUCAACUGUGGGCUUGCAGCCGAUACGGGCAGGCUCGAGUUCGGUAGGGGAGACUGGAAUUCCUGGUGUAGCGGUGAAAUGCGCAGAUAUCAGGAGGAACACCGGUGGCGAAGGCGGGUCUCUGGGCCGAUACUGACGCUGAGGAGCGAAAGCGUGGGGAGCGAACAGG